This is a long non-coding RNA of Bufo bufo (common toad), 1622 nucleotides long. RefSeq lists it as uncharacterized. The transcript is spliced from 2 exons. NCBI's taxonomy places the organism in Eukaryota, Metazoa, Chordata, Amphibia, Anura, Bufonidae. The record is from RefSeq and is a predicted model, not a curated record.
UAUACAAAAAAACAAAAAAAAACAAAGUGGAUGAGUUUUUUUUUUUUAACAGCAUACCCAUUUUUAAUGACCGUUAAAUGGUCAUGUGAAUAGUCCCAUGGUCUUUAAUUGGCUCUGAAAACAGCCAUGUGACUGUGUGUAAAUGAAGCCCAAAUGUGCAUUAAAAUCUGCAUCAAAUCCGACUGUUAUCAUUGCGGCUUUUAGUCCAGACUCAGUUGCAGUUUUCACCCAUUGCAUGGCGUUCAACAACAUUGGACUGUUACGGAAUUUCAGCGCAUAUUCUGCAACAAGCAUUUGAUGUGCGAACUCACUCUUAUAGGCCUCCGGCACACGCCCGUAUCCAAAAAUAAAGUCGUGUGCAUGAUGAGGCCUUAGGUCCAGGAUACACGCUCCAUGCGAUGGUCGCAUUUCCUGGACCGAACAAUGCUUCUGUGACCCAAACUUACAGCAUCAUAAUGAUUAACGAUGCCGAGUGCUCCUGCCUGACUAUGGCUCCACUGUACUGUACUCAAGGAGUCAUUUCAGUUUAGUAGAGUAGAUCUGUGGUCAGGCAGGAUUUGUGCCUGGCAAUUUCUCUGCAUAUUUGCUGGAUCUCUGCCAGACCCCUUUAUAGUUAAAGGGACAGGCGGGGCAUUCCAGUUGCAUCCGGCAAUGCUGGACGCGGAGAAUUACAGCCUUCUGGAAUAACUGCCGCAGAUGUGAGAUUAGCCUUAACCUUCCAGACACUUCUUCAGAGGGCACUGGCACAAAUUAAUAUUUUUUUUGCAGCAGUUUUUGAAGCCAAGAAUCAGGAUGUUACCGAUGACUAGUAAGGAGCGAAGCAAGCUUCAGAUGCUACCUCCGAAGUCGCUUUGUUCAGAACUUGAGAUUAGCAGUGUAUGGAGAUCGGUCUCCGUUCAGUAUUAUAACGGAUGGGCUCAGAUGAGAUGAGGUCAGAGGUACCAGUCAGAACCGAAGCAGAGUUCGGUUCCAAGUUUUAAAGUGAUUAUCCACUGUAAAAAUCAACUACAGAAGUUAUUCAACUAAGUCUCGCACCUCAUCGGAGCCCAUACAUUUUAGUACUGGACGGAGACUGAUCUCCGUAUUAAUUAGCAUUCAUUUUGAACAAAAUGACAUCGGAUGCAGCAUCCAAAGCUUGCUUCGCUCAUCACUACUGAUGACCUGUCUUCAGGAUAGGUCAUCAUUAUGAAAUUAGUGGGGGUUUGACCCCCCCCCCCCCCCCCAAUGAAAAAUGCACCACAUGUAAAAUAUAAUGCUCAAAAAUCAGUACAGCUUUGAGCAUAACAUUUAGCGGAUCAAGCUGUGGGCAGCAUUGUAAAGAGCUAAGCAGAUUUAUAUAUAGCUUUGUGGGAAAGCGUUCAGAAUAAGCACUAUUUUAUUUAAGGCAUUAUCCCAAAAAAGUAUUCAUGUGCCACCAAGACAGCCUUUUAAAAGUAUUAUUGCAAUAUACAUGCAAUAAGAACAUUCUCCUCUCCGAUAGCACCCCCGGCUUAGCUUCCCUGGCAUAGGGAUUCCAUUGAGAUGCGGCCUGAAAAGCUCUCUCUAGAAAAUAGAAAAGGAAAUUGGUGGAGGGGGGCAUACAUGCUAUAUGUAUCGUUGGUGAAAGUCCUCCAGGUGUGAGU